UAAGCGUACACGGUGGAUGCCUAGGCAGUCAGAGGCGAUGAAGGACGUGCUAAUCUGCGAAAAGCGUCGGUAAGCUGAUAUGAAGCGAUAUAGCCGGCGAUGUCCGAAUGGGGAAACCCAGUGCAAUGCGUUGCACUAUCAUUAACUGAAUUCAUAGGUUAAUGAGGCGAACCGGGGGAACUGAAACAUCUCAGUACCCCGAGGAAAAGAAAUCAACCGAGAUUCCCCCAGUAGCGGCGAGCGAACGGGGAGGAGCCCAGAACCUGCAUCAGCGAUAGCAUCAGAGGAACGGUCUGGAAAGGCCGGCGAGAGAGGGUGACAGCCCCGUACUCGAAGRUGGUAUGGCUGUGAGUUCGAUGAGUAAGGCGGGACACGAGAAAUCCUGUCUGAAGAUGGGGGGACCAUCCUCCAAGGCUAAAUACUCCUGACUGACCGAUAGUGAACCAGUACCGUGAGGGAAAGGCGAAAAGAACCCCGGCGAGGGGAGUGAAAGAGAACCUGAAACCGUGUACGUACAAGCAGUGGGAGCCCCACCACCAAAGCGUUUCGCUUUGCGUGGUGCACAAAAUGCGUAACAGCAGCACUGAUGACGGUUGGCGGAGCGGCAGCGACGCCCAACACACCAAUCAAGCAGUGGAGCGUUUUGGGGUGGGGUGACUGCGUACCUUUUGUAUAAUGGGUCAGCGACUUAUAUUCUGUAGCAAGGUUAACCGGAUAGGGGAGCCGCAGGGAAACCGAGUCUUAACUGGGCGAAAGAGUUGCAGGGUAUAGACCCGAAACCCGGUGAGCUAGCCAUGGGCAGGUUGAAGGUUGGGUAACACUAACUGGAGGACCGAACCGACUAAUGUUGAAAAAUUAGCGGAUGACCUGUGGCUGGGGGUGAAAGGCCAAUCAAACCGGGAGAUAGCUGGUUCUCCCCGAAAGCUAUUUAGGUAGCGCCUCGUGAAUUCAUCUUCGGGGGUAGAGCACUGUUUCGGCUAGGGGRCCAUCCCGGCUUACCAACCCGAUGCAAACUGCGAAUACCGAWGAAUGGYAUCACGGGAGACACACGGCGGGUGYUAACGUCCGUCGUGAAGAGGGAAACAACCCAGACCGCCAGCUAAGGUCCCGAAGUCAUGGUUAAGUGGGAAACGAUGUGGGAAGGCCCAGACAGCCAKGAUGUUGGCUUAGAAGCAGCCAUCAUUGAAAGAAAGCGUAAUAGCUCACUGGUCGAGUCGGCCUGCGCGGAAGAUGUAACGGGGCUAAACCAUGCACCGAAGCUGCGGCAGUGACACRCAAGUGUUAUUGGGUAGGGGAGCGUUCUGUAAGCCGGAGAAGGUGGCGCUGUGAGGCCUGCUGGAGGUAUCAGAAGUGCGAAUGCUGACAUAAGUAACGAUAAAGCGGGUGAAAAACCCGCUCGCCGGAAGACCAAGGGUUCCUGUCCAACGUUAAUCGGGGCAGGGUGAGUCGACCCCUAAGGUGAGGCCGAGAGGCGUAGCUGAUGGGAAACAGGUUAAUAUUCCUGUACUGAAUGUGACUGCGAAGGGGG
This 1528-nucleotide ribosomal RNA is filed under the name Photorhabdus laumondii subsp. laumondii. RNAcentral's name for it is "bacterial LSU rRNA". It matches the Rfam family "Bacterial large subunit ribosomal RNA", at positions 12 to 1471 of the family's 2925-position model. The record is from RNAcentral. Lineage: Bacteria; Pseudomonadati; Pseudomonadota; Gammaproteobacteria; Enterobacterales; Morganellaceae.